UACAUGGGGUGCAAACGUUGCUCGGAAUUACUGGGCGUAAAGGGCGCGUAGGCGGCCUUCUAAGUCGAACGUGAAAUCCCCGGGCUCAACCCGGGAACUGCGUCCGAUACUGGAAGGCUUGAAUCCGGGAGAGGGAUGCGGAAUUCCAGGUGUAGCGGUGAAAUGCGUAGAUAUCUGGAGGAACACCGGUGGCGAAGGCGGCAUCCUGGACCGGCAUUGACGCUGAGGCGCGAAAGCCAGGGGAGCAAACGGG
Molecule: ribosomal RNA, 253 nt
Filed under: uncultured bacterium
Lineage: Bacteria
Description: partial 16S ribosomal RNA
Rfam family: Bacterial small subunit ribosomal RNA
Source: RNAcentral